This is a non-coding RNA of Cladophialophora chaetospira, 124 nucleotides long. Lineage: Eukaryota; Fungi; Ascomycota; Eurotiomycetes; Chaetothyriales; Herpotrichiellaceae. The record is from the annotation of a GenBank genome assembly.
GGACUGAUAGCUCAGCAGGUCUAGAGCGUUGGUGGCAUAUUGCGGCCCCGAACAUCGAGAACUACGCUCGCUUAGUAGGGGGCGCACGAACCAAAGGGCGUUGGUUCAAAUCCAACUCAGUCCA